This 317-nucleotide ribosomal RNA is filed under the name uncultured Hydrogenophaga sp. RNAcentral describes it as "bacterial SSU rRNA". It matches the Rfam family "Bacterial small subunit ribosomal RNA", at positions 1059 to 1382 of the family's 1533-position model. The record is from RNAcentral. Lineage: Bacteria; Pseudomonadati; Pseudomonadota; Betaproteobacteria; Burkholderiales; Comamonadaceae.
CUCGUGUCGUGAGAUGUUGGGUUAAGUCCCGCAACGAGCGCAACCCUUGUCAUUAGUUGCUACGAAAGGGCACUCUAAUGAGACUGCCGGUGACAAACCGGAGGAAGGUGGGGAUGACGUCAAGUCCUCAUGGCCCUUAUAGGUGGGGCUACACACGUCAUACAAUGGCUGGUACAAAGGGUUGCCAACCCGCGAGGGGGAGCCAAUCCCAUAAAGCCAGUCGUAGUCCGGAUCGCAGUCUGCAACUCGACUGCGUGAAGUCGGAAUCGCUAGUAAUCGUGGAUCAGCAUGUCACGGUGAAUACGUUCCCGGGUCUU